This 165-nucleotide ribosomal RNA is filed under the name Klebsiella pneumoniae subsp. pneumoniae KPNIH20. RNAcentral's name for it is "partial 23S ribosomal RNA". It matches the Rfam family "Bacterial large subunit ribosomal RNA", at positions 2768 to 2925 of the family's 2925-position model. The record is from RNAcentral. Lineage: Bacteria; Pseudomonadati; Pseudomonadota; Gammaproteobacteria; Enterobacterales; Enterobacteriaceae.
GUGCUGAAAGCAUCUAAGCACGAAACUUGCCCCGAGAUGAGUUCUCCCUGAGACUUUAAGUCUCCUGAAGGAACGUUAAAGACGAUGACGUUGAUAGGCCGGGUGUGUAAGCGCAGCGAUGCGUUGAGCUAACCGGUACUAAUGAACCGUGAGGCUUAACCUUAC